This 257-nucleotide ribosomal RNA is filed under the name uncultured bacterium. Its description in RNAcentral is "partial 16S ribosomal RNA". It matches the Rfam family "Bacterial small subunit ribosomal RNA", at positions 524 to 777 of the family's 1533-position model. The record is from RNAcentral.
UACGUAGGGUGCAAGCGUUGUCCGGAAUUAUUGGGCGUAAAGAGCUCGUAGGCGGUCUGUUGCGUCGGCUGUGAAAACCCGGGGCUCAACUCCGGGCCUGCAGCCGAUACGGGCAGACUAGAGUUCGGCAGGGGAGACUGGAAUUCCUGGUGUAGCGGUGGAAAUGCGCAGAUAUCAGGAGGAACACCGGUAGCGGAAGGCGGGCCCUGCUGGGCCGAUACUGACGUCAGGCACGAAAGCGUGGGGAGCAAACAGGG